Molecule: long non-coding RNA, 4311 nt
Organism: Oncorhynchus keta (chum salmon)
Lineage: Eukaryota; Metazoa; Chordata; Actinopteri; Salmoniformes; Salmonidae
Exons: 2
Source: RefSeq, a predicted model, not a curated record
CUGCCAUAGAGGCAGCAGGGAUGACAAGGGAUGUUCAGUUGAUGUGGGUGAAUUGGACUAUUUUCCUGUCCUGCUAAGCAUUCAAAAUGUAACAAGUACUUUUGGGUGUCAAGAAAAAUUUAUGGAGUAAAAAGUAAAAUUUUUAUUAAGGAAUGUAGUGAAGUGAAAGUAAAAGUAGUCAAACAUAAAUAGUAAAGUAAAGUACAAAUACCCCCCAAAACGACUUAAUUAGUACUAUUUUUACUUACGUACUGUACACUACUGCUGGCUAUGACUAUCCAACACUGGAACACUUCCAAGUCAAGGUCAGUUACACCCACCGGUGUAACUGCUUACAGACUGUACACUGUAAUGUUGCUGCAUGAUUGCAGUGGGUUUACUAAUAUGUUAGUUCUAUUAGCUUUGUUGACCAUGACGUUACUUUAGCUAAUAUGGAGACAACAAUGUAGGCUGUGUGUAGUGGUUAUGAUAUGGUUUUGCUUGGAAAGUUGUUUUUGCCUGGACACAUUGUAACAGUCUUGACUUGAGGUUAUUAUUUAUAGGGGUGCCAGGUAGGUUGUGCCUACCAGAGAAAACAUUGGUUUCUCCUUUUGGUUUGUUAGGGAAUGAGUCCCAUCUGGUCCGUCAAGUCUACACCAAUACAAAGGACUUGUGUAAAAGUCAGGAUGGAAAUAAACUUUUCAUAAACCCUUGGAAAGAACUUCAACAACUAUAUUCUUUUGCAUGGGUUGUAUUAGCAACAUCAAUGAUUACACACACAUAUACUAAUAUCACAAUGAGUUCUGGUUCCUCCAGAAAUGUCCUGUACCUCAGGCCUAAAAACAAAAGAGUCCAGCCCGGUAAAGGAGUUCAGGGAACUCAAGUGACUUUUGUCACGCAAUGUUUGUCCGUUUUCCGUGUAGCGGAAACCCAGUAUUAAUCAUAAAAACAAUAUAAAGCGUAUCAACUCUAAGUCCUCCCCUACACCGAACUACACAAAUCAUCACAGUAUACCUCACAUCAAAACAAAUGAAAUACCGUAUACAAAAAGGUUGUAGUCGGUCAGUCAGCCAAUCCAAUCCACCAACUGAGAAAGUCCACAGAGAGGUGUAGUCCACGGACGCAAAGAGUGGAUCCGAUCCUGGGUAAACUCUAUUAGGCUACAAAACAAACGGAAUAGAGAAGCUUCAGAACUGAGGGUUGAACACAUCCUCAUUCACGUCUCCAUCACAACCCCACUUUGGCACAGCUGAUCCUGGCUAUUUAAUUGCGAAUUAAAGGGAAAGCGCCCUAUUGGAAGGAGAAGCACUGAGACGGUUCAAAAAAAUUCAGGGCCGUCACAACAUACAGUUGAUGUGUGGUGCAUUGAAGUUCACAAUCAAAGGGGAAAGGAGAGAGGAGAUGAGCGAUAGAUGCGAGAAGGAAUACAAUGUGGCAAGACCUGAGCCCUAGGACCAUGCCUCAGGACUACCUGGCAUGAUGACUCCUUGCUGUCCCUAGUCCACCUGGCCGUGCUGCUGCUCCAGUUUCAACUGUUCUGCCUGCGGCUAUGGAACCCUGACCUGACCAACCCUGACCAACUCUCUAGAGACAAGCAGGAGCGGUAGAGAUACUAUCAAUGAUCGCCUAUGAAAAGCCAACUGACAUUUACUCCUGAGGUGCUGACUUGUUGCACCCUCGACAACUACUGUGAUUAUUAUUACUUGACCAUGCUGGUCAUUUAUGAACAUUUGAACAUCUUGGCCAUGUUCUGUUAUAAUCUCCACCCGGCACAGCCAGAAGAGGAUUGGCCACCCUUCAUAGCCUGGUUCUUCUCUAGGUUUCUUCCUAGGUUUUGGCCUUUCUAGGGAGUUUUUCCCAGCCACCGUGUUUCUACACCUGCAUUGCUUGCUGUUUGUGGUUUUAGGCUAGGUUUCUGGACUGCACUUUGAUAUAUCAGCUGAUGUAAGAAGGGCUAUAUAAAUACAUUUAUUUGAUAGGUCUACAUGUUUCUCCUUUGCAUGGUGUUAUUUUUUUAGUUCUUCAUUGUCAAGCUUUAAAAACUAAAGCCAGACUGCAACAUUUUAGUAGCCUAGCUAGGACUGUGACAUGUGUCUGUACACUUUCCCUCGGCUGCACGCUGUAAACGGGACACACAAAAGCAGCACAAUUUAAGUAUAAUUCACUGAUGCAUGUGCAUCAGGCUGUAAUUUCAUAAAGUAGAUGACUCAACGGUUGACUCAUUUAUACUCAUUUGUGUCCUAUUCGGACUGCGGGCCUUGUGUUUGACCCAUGUGCGCCAGCCUAAUAGCCACGUUAUGACUGCGUUGUGGUCAUAGGCAUUGUAGCCUAGUGGUUAGAGCGUUGGACUAGUAACCAGAAGGUUGCAAGUUCAAAUCCCCGAGCUGAUAAGGUACAAAUCUGUCAUUCUGCCCCUGAACAGGCAGUUAACCCACUGUUCCUAGGCUGUCAUUGAAAAUAAGAAUUUGUUCUUAACUGACUUGCCUAGUUAAAUAAAGGUUAAAAAAAAUACAAAAAAUUGCCCGUCAACAUGGGUCAGCAUCCCUGGGGAACGCUUUGACACCUUGUAGUCCAUACCCUGACAAAUGGAGUCUGAUCAGAGGGCAAAAGGGGGUGCAACUCAAUAUUAUUUUGGAUAUUUAACUGUUUUCUAAAUAUUUCAUGGGGGUGCGACUGCAAUUUGCAACACUUCUGCAGACUCACACAUAACUGCAGCACAACAAGACGUUUUCCUCUGCCACAUCUACACUGGACAAAUAUAGUAUAGACUACACAGGAGGUUGGUGGCACCUUAAUUGGGGAGGAUGGGCUUGUGGUAAUGACUGGGGCGGAAUAAGUGAAAUGUUUUCAAAUACAGUACAUCAAACACAUGGUUUCCAUCUGUUUGAUGCCCUUCCAUUAACUAUGUUCCAGCCAUUAUUAUGAGCCGUCCUCCCCUCAGCAGCCUCCUACCCUCCUGUAUGUUUUUAGCUCCAACCUUAAUAUAGGGCACCUGAUUCUAAUAAUUAGCUUGUUGAUACGCUUAAUCGGUUAGUUAAAACUGGGAAGGAGUGAAAACCUACAGGAGGGUAGCUCUCCAGGAACAGGGUUGGAGAGCCCUGGACUAGAGUGUUCCGUUCCUUUCAGUAGUGUUCCUUCCUUUUAGUAGGGAUAGAUACAACGCCUUAAAGCAGGGAGGCUGCAGAAGACAGAUGGUCUCGGGAGACUCACGCUGCAGUCUGUCAUGCAAGCGAUAGCAGCAUAGCGCACUACGGCCAUGGAUGGCUGACCCCGUCCUAACAGGAAAUAGAAAAAUAAAUAGAUCGGUUGGACAGGCUGAGUGUCAGAGCUACGUGUGGAAAGAAAAAUACUGGGCCGUGACAAAGGCUAGAAAGAUGUAAAGUUGCUGAGUUUAGACAGCCCAUUGCUAGUGUGUACUCUAAACAGGGGGGCACUUCUUUUAAUGAGAAAGGAAGGUCCCUAUUGGCCAAAGAAAGAUUCAUAUUUCAUGUUUGGCAAAGUGUGCUCUGACCUAAAGGACUAAGCCUAGGGCUAUGACAAUAUUGUGUAUGGUUGCUAGGUACUGUAAGGACAAAUUAUGGAUAGAACAAAUUCCUUUCAAAGACAAUGACAAUUUGCCUUGUUGUCUUCCUUUCCAAGACAAGACAAAUUCCUUUCCAAGACAACUCACAAAGUGCGUUGGACCUGAAAGUAUACCGAACCAGCAAAAGUAGAUGUGCUGGAUGGGCUAUAUCCUACAUGUUUUAUUUUCCAAGGAAUAGCGAUGAAGUCAAUAUGAAAUAUGAUUGUUAUAUGAUUAUAGACCGAAAACUAUAAUGUUGUGCAAAGCAGAGUAAUGUGCAUAGCUUUUAGUAAACCAAACCCCUGGGAAUAAUUUAAUUAAAGUUGACUUUAAAUCAAAUAAAAUUAAAUUCAUCACAUACUCUGUAAACAACAGGUGAAAUGCUUACUACAUGCCCUUCACAAAGAUAUAGAGAGAAAAAUAGAAAAAAAUAACACAAGGACCAAAUACACAAUGAGUAACUGUUACGCCCUGGCCUUAGUUCCUUUUUUAUGUCUCUAUUUUAGUUUGGUCAGGGCGUGAGUUGGGGUGGGAAUUCUAUGUAUUGUUCUAUGUUUUUGUAUUUCUGUGUUUGGCCUGGUAUGGUUCCCAAUCAGAGGCAGCUGUUUAUUGUUGUCUCUGAUUGAGAACCAUACUGAGGCAGCCUGUUUUCCCACUAUGAUUUGUUUUCUGUCUUUGUAUUAGUUACCAGACGGAACUGUUUCAGUUGUUCUUUUUGUUUACUUUGUAUUGUAGUGUUCAGUUCAGUUUAAUAAAAUGACGAACACUUA